This 496-nucleotide ribosomal RNA is filed under the name uncultured Streptococcus sp. Its description in RNAcentral is "bacterial SSU rRNA". It matches the Rfam family "Bacterial small subunit ribosomal RNA", at positions 28 to 508 of the family's 1533-position model. Lineage: Bacteria; Bacillati; Bacillota; Bacilli; Lactobacillales; Streptococcaceae. The record is from RNAcentral.
GACGAACGCUGGCGGCGUGCCUAAUACAUGCAAGUAGAACGCUGAAGGAGGAGCUUGCUUCUCCGGAUGAGUUGCGAACGGGUGAGUAACGCGUAGGUGACCUGCCUGGUAGUGGGGGAUAACUAUUGGAAACGAUAGCUAAUACCGCAUAAUAACAGUUGUUGCAUGACAACUGUUUGAAAGGUGCAAUUGCACCACUACCAGCUGGACCUGCGUUGUAUUAGCUAGUUGGUGGGGUAACGGCUCACCAAGGCGACGAUACAUAGCCGACCUGAGAGGGUGAUCGGCCACACUGGGACUGAGACACGGCCCAGACUCCUACGGGAGGCAGCAGUAGGGAAUCUUCGGCAAUGGACGGAAGUCUGACCGAGCAACGCCGCGUGAGUGAAGAAGGUUUUCGGAUCGUAAAGCUCUGUUGUAAGAGAAGAACGAGUGUGAGAGUGGAAAGUUCACACUGUGACGGUAUCUUACCAGAAAGGGACGGCUAACUACGUGC